AGCAAUUUGGCGCAGUGGAAGCGCGGUAUGUCUCCCAGUGACUCCACUCAAAAAUCGAACAUUCAAGCUAACUUUCUACAGCCGGGCUCAUAACCCGGAGGUCACACGAUCGAAACGUGUAAUUGCUA
Molecule: non-coding RNA, 128 nt
Organism: Cladobotryum mycophilum
Lineage: Eukaryota; Fungi; Ascomycota; Sordariomycetes; Hypocreales; Hypocreaceae
Source: the annotation of a GenBank genome assembly